CAGCAGCAGCGGUGCUCCUGCCCCUCCGCCACCUCCCCCGCAGCCGCUUCUCCAGGGAGGUGUAGCAGGGAGGG
This 74-nucleotide microRNA precursor is filed under the name Jaculus jaculus (lesser Egyptian jerboa). RNAcentral describes it as "miRNA (ENSJJAG00000001489.1)". Lineage: Eukaryota; Metazoa; Chordata; Mammalia; Rodentia; Dipodidae. The record is from RNAcentral.